Molecule: unclassified non-coding RNA, 323 nt
Filed under: soil metagenome
Description: partial contains 5.8S ribosomal RNA, internal transcribed spacer 2, and large subunit ribosomal RNA
Rfam family: 5.8S ribosomal RNA (bases 1-120)
Source: RNAcentral
GAUGAAGAACGCAGCGAAAUGCGAUAAGUAAUGUGAAUUGCAGAAUUCAGUGAAUCAUCGAAUCUUUGAACGCACAUUGCGCCCGCCGGUAUUCCGGCGGGCAUGCCUGUUCGAGCGUCAUUUCAACCCUCAAGCCCCGGCUUGGUGUUGGGGCGCCCGCUGUGGCCGGCCCUAAAGACAGUGGCGGCGCCGCCUGGCCCUCAGCGUAGUACAUCUCUCGCUCCAGGGUCCGGUGGCCGCCUGCCAGAACCCCCCAACUCUGUGGUUGACCUCGGAUCAGGUAGGUAUACCCGCUGAACUUAAGCAUAUCAAUAAGCGGAGGA